This 433-nucleotide ribosomal RNA is filed under the name uncultured bacterium. Its description in RNAcentral is "partial 16S ribosomal RNA". It matches the Rfam family "Bacterial small subunit ribosomal RNA", at positions 29 to 507 of the family's 1533-position model. The record is from RNAcentral.
AGCGAACGCUGGCGGCAGGCCUAACACAUGCAAGUCGAACGAACUCUUCGGAGUUAGUGGCGGACGGGUGAGUAACACGUGGGAACGUGCCUUUUGGUUUGGAAUAACUCAGGGAAACUUGUGCUAAUACCGAAUGUGCCCUUCGGGGGAAAGAUUUAUCGCCAUUAGAGCGGCCCGCGUCUGAUUAGCUAGUUGGUGAGGUAACGGCUCACCAAGGCGACGAUCAGUAGCUGGUCUGAGAGGAUGACCAGCCACACUGGGACUGAGACACGGCCCAGACUCCUACGGGAGGCAGCAGUGGGGAAUCUUGCGCAAUGGGCGAAAGCCUGACGCAGCCAUGCCGCGUGAAUGAUGAAGGUCUUAGGAUUGUAAAAUUCUUUCACCGGGGACGAUAAUGACGGUACCCGGAGAAGAAGCCCCGGCUAACUUCGUG